RNAcentral lists this ribosomal RNA (253 nucleotides) under uncultured prokaryote. RNAcentral describes it as "partial 16S ribosomal RNA". It matches the Rfam family "Bacterial small subunit ribosomal RNA", at positions 525 to 777 of the family's 1533-position model. The record is from RNAcentral.
ACAGAGGCCUCGAGCGUUAGGCGGAAUCACUGGGCUUAAAGCGUGUGUAGGUGGAUGCCUAAGUACCUUGUGAAAUCCCACGGCUUAACCGUGGAAUUGCUCGGUAUACUGGGCGUCUUGAGCCACUCAGGGGCUACCGGAACAAACGGUGGAGCGGUGAAAUGCGUAGAUAUCGAGAGGAACACCUGCGGCGAAGGCGGGUUGCUGGGCUGACACUGACGCUGAACUGCGAAAGCUAGGGGAGCGAACGGGA